GAAUCACCAGGGGUAAAUCUAAUGUCCUUUGCCUUGUAACUUCUGGAGUGUUACAUAAAGGACUGUAACUAGACUGAGGCAAUGCAAGCUAUCCCUGCAAAAAUACAUCUUUUUAGCCCAUUUACCAAUGGCAGCUUCAGGUUUGGGGAUGUUGUGGCAAGAGGCAGCUUUUCAAUUUCACAGGAAUGGGUAGAAGCAACACAGUGGACAGGCUGCUGUAUUUAUUGUCUUCGGGUGCUGGCCAGCUGCCUGCCAGGGACCACAACUCCGAGGUGGCUCAGAGCUCUGCAGCAGCCCCGAGCAGCAGCACCGGCAGCAGCAGCAGCAGC
Molecule: long non-coding RNA, 329 nt
Organism: Motacilla alba alba
Lineage: Eukaryota; Metazoa; Chordata; Aves; Passeriformes; Motacillidae
Exons: 3
Source: RefSeq, a predicted model, not a curated record